Molecule: long non-coding RNA, 242 nt
Filed under: Brassica napus (rape)
Lineage: Eukaryota; Viridiplantae; Streptophyta; Magnoliopsida; Brassicales; Brassicaceae
Description: long non-coding RNA (BNAP_LNC020487)
Source: RNAcentral
UAUAUAUAAUGUUCAUCUCGCGCAAGACGCAGAUCUUAACCUAGUUUUCUUUUACUUCCAUUUUCGAAAUCGUUGAGCAAAUGACAAUGUUUUAACUUUUAAUAAGAGAGCACAGAAGGAAAACUGACAAUGUUUUAAUACGAGCACAUAUAGGGAAAAUGACCAGAUCUUGUUUAAGAAAUCAAAUCGAUAGAAAAAACACACACAGUCGAUCAGUAGCUCAAACACAUGGACAAAGCCCU